Molecule: non-coding RNA, 80 nt
Organism: Podarcis lilfordi (Lilford's wall lizard)
Lineage: Eukaryota; Metazoa; Chordata; Lepidosauria; Squamata; Lacertidae
Source: the annotation of a GenBank genome assembly
GCCUUCAUAUCAGAUAGCUCAGUGAGUAGAGCACGAGGCUAUUCAUCUCAUGGUGGUGGGUUUAAGCCCUAUGUUGGACA